This 1065-nucleotide ribosomal RNA is filed under the name uncultured Bacteroidota bacterium. Its description in RNAcentral is "bacterial SSU rRNA". It matches the Rfam family "Bacterial small subunit ribosomal RNA", at positions 327 to 1394 of the family's 1533-position model. Lineage: Bacteria; Pseudomonadati; Bacteroidota. The record is from RNAcentral.
UCAUAUGGAUUCCUACGGGAGGCAGCAGUGAGGAAUAUUGGUCAAUGGGCGCAAGCCUGAACCAGCCAUCCCGCGUGAAGGAUGAAGGCCCUAUGGGUCGUAAACUUCUUUUAUACGCCAAGAAAAUUUCGGACGUGUCCGAAACUGACGGUAGUGUAUGAAUAAGCAUCGGCUAACUCCGUGCCAGCAGCCGCGGUAAUACGGAGGAUGCAAGCGUUAUCCGGAUUCAUUGGGUUUAAAGGGUGCGUAGGCGGCUUUUUAAGUCAGUGGUGAAAUCUUGCCGCUUAACGGUAAAAUUGCCAUUGAUACUGAAAAGCUUGAGUACAUUUGAGGUAAGCGGAAUGUGUAGUGUAGCGGUGAAAUGCUUAGAUAUUACACAGAACACCAAUUGCGAAGGCAGCUUACUAAACUGUUACUGACGCUGAUGCACGAAAGCGUGGGGAGCGAACAGGAUUAGAUACCCUGGUAGUCCACGCCGUAAACGAUGUUCACUCGCUGUUUGCGAUACACAGCAAGCGGCCAAGCGAAAGCAUUAAGUGAACCACCUGGGGAGUACGAUCGCAAGGUUGAAACUCAAAGGAAUUGACGGGGGCCCGCACAAGCGGAGGAACAUGUGGUUUAAUUCGAUGAUACGCGAGGAACCUUACCUGGGCUUAAAUGUAGAGCGACAGAUUGUGAAAGCAGUCCUUCUUCGGACGAUCUACAAGGUGCUGCAUGGUUGUCGUCAGCUCGUGCCGUGAGGUGUCGGGUUAAGUCCCAUAACGAGCGCAACCCUUAUCGUUAGUUGCCAGCGGGUUAAGCCGGGGACUCUAGCGAGACUGCCACCGUAAGGUGUGAGGAAGGUGGGGAUGACGUCAAAUCAGCACGGCCCUUAUGUCCAGGGCUACACACGUGUUACAAUGGCCGAUACAAAGGGCAGCUACCAGGUGACUGGAUGCUAAUCUCUAAAGUCGGUCUCAGUUCGGAUCGAAGUCUGCAACCCGACUUCGUGAAGCUGGAUUCGCUAGUAAUCGCAUAUCAGCCAUGAUGCGGUGAAUAAGUUGCCCGGGCCUUGUACACACCGCA